AAUUAUUGAUGAUAAAAGGUAAAAUUGAGUUGUUAUUAUAUAAUAUAUAGUAAUUAAAACUGAAGCUAGGAAAAUUUGGAUGAAAACUAGGAUUAGAUACCCUAUUAUUCUAAAUUAAAACCGGAAGUACUAAAUUAGUAAUAGUUAAUUACUUAAAAAUUAAAAAAUUUGGCGGUGAUUUAAUCUUUCCAGAGGAACUUGUUUCUUGAUCGAUACUCCUCGCAAAAUCUUACUUAUUUUUGUUAACAGGCAGUUUGUAUACCAUCAUUAGCAGGUAACUUCAAAAGAAUAAGUUACUAAAUGUUAAUUAUUUACAAAAAUUAGAUCAUGGUGCAGCAUAUAAAUAAGUUGAAAUGAGUUACAAUAAGUUAUCUUAAACGGAGCAGUAAAGUAAGAAUUGCUGUGAAGGAGGAUUUGGUUGUAUUAUAAUGUUAAUAAGCUUAUGAGACAUAAGUUCUAAAUCAUGUACAUAUCGCCCGUCGCUUUCGU
RNAcentral lists this ribosomal RNA (489 nucleotides) under Pachygrapsus marmoratus (marbled crab). RNAcentral's name for it is "partial 12S ribosomal RNA". The record is from RNAcentral. Lineage: Eukaryota; Metazoa; Arthropoda; Malacostraca; Decapoda; Grapsidae.